GGUUUUUUAGCUAUUUCUCCUAAAAAUCAGCAAAGGAUGGGCUGUGGCACGUGGCCAGAGGCUUCACGAGUGCGUCAGCUGCUGUGAAAGUUCCUGAGUUUGCACAUUUGUCGUUGGGUUGUGGGUUUUCUUUUGUUGUCGUUGGUUGGUUUUGUGGGGCUUUUUUUUUUUUUUUUUUCCUUUCUUUGUAUUUUUUUUUUUUUCUCUGGAAAUGAGAAUGGUGAAACGUGAACAUUUCACUUCCCCCGGAAGAGUUGACGUGUUUUCCCAGCCUCAUAAAUUUGGAGAGAUUUUGGGAAAGAAGGAUCAGAGAUGGCACAGAACGUUGGUGCUGAUGGCACCUGUGAGAACUGGGAGCUCACCAAGGACAUGCUGCUGGAGGACCAAACCCCGAGGAAAACACCCAAAAGAGCAGUGCUGUCACUCCUGCCCUCGUCCCCACAAAGAGCCGUUGUGCUGCUGGCCCUGCUGCUGGCCCUCAGCUUUGUGUUCCUCUUGGCUCUUACCAUUGCGAACAUCCGAAGAGUGUCUGCAGUGCGGGAAGAACUGGAGCGAGCGCAGCUGCAGGACAAGCAGAGCCACACCACAGCCUGGCACAACCUCUCAGAGGUCCAGCACACCCUGGAUCUGCAGCUCUCAGCCGAGCUCCGGACGAUUCACAGCCGCCUUCUGAACGUGUCACGAGGAUUGGAGGACGUGCAGCAGAAGAUGGCCCAGUGCAGGGCAGAGUGUGGGAAGGAGCUGCGGGAUCGCAUCCAAGCCCUGGAGGGAAGGGACGAGUUGCAGCCGGCUCUGAAGCAGCUGGAGGAGCUGAGGCAGGAGCAGAGCCACAUAUCCACGCUGCUCAGCACAGCGCUGGAGGAGACACAGAACCUCACGGGUGAGGGCAGCAGCUGCACCCACUCCUAAAAUAUCCCCCCCCUGCCUUGGGAGCAGCCCUGUGGAGAAGGACCUGGGGGUUUUGAUAGAUGAAAAGCUUAAGACGAGGCAGCAGUGUGCUCCUGCAGUUCGGAAAGCAAACGGGAUCCUGGGCUCCAGCAGCAGAGGGGUGGCCAGCAGGGACAGGGAGGUGAUCGCCGCCCUCUGCUCUGCUCUUGUGAGCCCACAUCUGCAGGGCUGGAGCCCCCAGGACAAAAAAAAGACAGGGGGCUGUUGGAGGGGGUCCAGAGGAGAGCCACGAAGGUGAGCAGGGGGCUGCAGCACCUCUGCUAUGGGGACAGGCUGAGGGAGCUGGGCUGGUUCAGCAUGGAGAAGAGAAGCUGCGGGGUGAAUCAUUGCAGCCUGCAGCACCUCAAGGGAGCCUGCAGACAGGAGGGAAUCAACAAUUUGAAAGGAUUGAUAACAGCAGGAUGAGGGGAAAUGGUUUGGAGUUGAUUGAGGUUGGAUGUCAGGGAGAAAUUCUUUGCUGUGAGAGCGGUGAGGUGCUGGAACAGCUGCACAAAGAGGCUGUGGAGCCCCGUCCAUCCCUGGAGGUGUUCAGGGCCAGGUUGGAUGGGGCCCUGGGCAGCCUGGGCUGCUGUGAAACGUGGAGGUUGGUGGCCCUGCAUGCAGCAGGGGGUUGGAGCUUCGUCAUCCUUGAGCUCCCUUCCAACCCAACCAUUCUGUGAUUCUAUCUGAGCAGGGAUAGGGGCUGCUUCCACUGCUGAUCAUUGGGUUGUGGCACUGUGCUGUCAUUUAUUCACCCCACGUUUUUCUUCUUCCCCACAGGAGAGUUUUUUGGUCUACUGGUAAAGAGGUCUGAAAGGAAAACCCACGGGCUGGAUGCUGCUCACAGAUGCUGCUCCCUAUCAGUGGAAAUGCGUGGAACAACUCAGCCUGCAGCCAGCCAAGGAAAACUGGAAACGAAGCAUCUGAGCCUCAACAGGGCUGGCUGCGAACCCAGCCCACACCUAUGGUGGAAAAAGGGGCU
This is a long non-coding RNA of Chrysolophus pictus (golden pheasant), 1909 nucleotides long. Lineage: Eukaryota; Metazoa; Chordata; Aves; Galliformes; Phasianidae. The record is from Ensembl.